Long non-coding RNA from Ictalurus punctatus (channel catfish), 356 nucleotides. The record is from Ensembl. NCBI's taxonomy places the organism in Eukaryota, Metazoa, Chordata, Actinopteri, Siluriformes, Ictaluridae.
GGGAGUACAGUGCAGUGCGGGGGGUGAUAACUGAUUUGAGGGUCUCGGAGAACCUGAGCCUAUCCCAGGGAGCAUGGGGCACAAGGCGGGGUACACCCUGGAAGGUGUGCCAGUCACCAAUUACAGGGCACUAUCACAUACACAUUCAUACACUAUGGACACUUUGGACUGGGGAGGAAACUGGAGUACCUGAAGGAAACCCCUGCGGCACAGGACAACAUGCAAACUCCUCACACACGUCCUGCCAUGGUGGGAAUCGAACCCCCAACCCUGGAGGUGUGAGGCUAACAUACUAACCACUAACCACUGUAUUGACAAUACAGUCAAUAAUUUUAGGAACAGUAAAAAGUUACCCA